UACGGAGGGUGCAAGCGUUAAUCGGAAUUACUGGGCGUAAAGCGCACGCAGGCGGUUUGUUAAGUCAGAUGUGAAAUCCCCGGGCUCAACCUGGGAACUGCAUCUGAUACUGGCAAGCUUGAGUCUCGUAGAGGGGGGUAGAAUUCCAGGUGUAGCGGUGAAAUGCGUAGAGAUGUGGAGGAAUACCGGUGGCGAAGGCGGCCCCCUGGACAAAGACUGACGCUCAGGUGCGAAAGCGUGGGGAGCAAACAGG
RNAcentral lists this ribosomal RNA (253 nucleotides) under uncultured bacterium. RNAcentral describes it as "partial 16S ribosomal RNA". It matches the Rfam family "Bacterial small subunit ribosomal RNA", at positions 524 to 776 of the family's 1533-position model. The record is from RNAcentral.